AGAAUGAGUGAAUGACUCAUAAUCAUCCCUUCCACAACACAAACCCAACCGUUCCAUUUCCAUCUCACUUUCUCUCUCUAGACUCUAGCAACCAUGGUUUCAACUCCUUCAUGGCUUCAUCCUCUACCUCUCUUCAGGUCCCCUCUCCUCCUCACAUUUCAGUCUUGUGAAAAUCAACUCAAACAUUAGAGCAAUCUUGUUGCCGAAUUGCUGCAUCGUAAUCGUUACUAGUCACACACCGGUUCCUCUCUCUCCUCCGCCCAACAGUCAUAGCCUUUCGCCACCUCUUCGUUCCUUCCCAAAUCAUUUCCACCGCUAAAAUUAGCAUGGAGAGAUGAAAAGUGAAUUCCAAGGCUAACAGUUAAGGAGUUUGUUGAUCAGAGGAGAUUAAAACAGGCUCGAUUUGGUAGACAAUAUUAGUAAGUUUUCUAAAUAAACUUAUUCAUCAGAAAAUGUGGAUGAGGUUAGAGACAUGUGGGUCGAGUAUUUGCUCAAACAAAAAGCGGAUCAAGAAAACAAAGUUGAUGGUAUGGAAAUAAGUCCAUGAGUUUCGGUUCCAAUUGUUGGUAAAUUGGUGUGAAUGAUUAUAUUUUGGAAUUGAUUUUUGUUUUACGUUUUUGGAAAUUGCGAUGUAAAGUUUGGCGCUUAUGCAAAUCACAGUUUAUGUAAAGCUUGCGUUUUGAGCAUUACUUGUUGGAAAUAUUUGUUUGGUAAUAUAUGGAUUAUGGAGUUGUUCUCGAA
This is a long non-coding RNA of Spinacia oleracea (spinach), 741 nucleotides long. RefSeq lists it as uncharacterized. The record is from RefSeq and is a predicted model, not a curated record. The transcript is spliced from 3 exons. NCBI's taxonomy places the organism in Eukaryota, Viridiplantae, Streptophyta, Magnoliopsida, Caryophyllales, Amaranthaceae.